Molecule: unclassified non-coding RNA, 244 nt
Filed under: Hevea brasiliensis (rubber tree)
Lineage: Eukaryota; Viridiplantae; Streptophyta; Magnoliopsida; Malpighiales; Euphorbiaceae
Source: RNAcentral
AUCUUGGAAUUGAAAUGACAAUGUGUAUAGAAAAAUAAAAGAAAGAUAAAAGAGUACAAUGUACAUUUCAUAUAUUAGCCUGAAGCUGCAACACAAAGGGACAGCUUCGAUUAGUCUACUUACUACAUAAUAGUUACACUAUACAUUAUAAAUGACCGGAAAACCAGAAAACGCAUGAAUUUUGACUCUGGCAUUAUAUAUGAGACUGACCUCUAUCAAUCACAAACUCCCAACAACAUAUAGU